UUAGGUACAUAGGGUACCCUUGAAACCACAAUGAGAGGAGCCUUACGACUUCUUCUUUGUUGCCGGGCUUUGAUGAGGAAGGGUACCUAUCGAAGAGGUGGCACCUACGGUAAUUGAGGAUUCACUUCUUAGACGGUUUAUAAAGGAGUCGAAAUCUUCGCUGGACCGAUCCAUAUCAAUCAACCACCAUGGAAAACAAGAAGAAAAGGUCAGAUAAACAGACACAAAGCUUAUUGUGAAUUAAAAUAACAGAAGGGCAAACAGUAAGGAAAACAUAAGGCUAGAAAACAAAAUACGAGUGACACUAGAAUACCCUUGCAAUACCCUCUACUCAUACUUGGUCAUGAAAAGAAGCCGAUGGGGAACCUUUGACCAAUUAGCCCUACCCACACUCAAUAUAUCACUCUCUAUAUGGCCAAAAACUUUGCCUAGUAGCGGUAAAAGAAAGAAAAUAAAAGGGAAGUCAAAGUUAGAAGCACCAGGAGGAAGGAAAAGAGGAAAGAAAAGGAAGAAAAAAAAAACAAAGAAGAGAGAGAGGCUUAC
This 543-nucleotide long non-coding RNA is filed under the name Citrus sinensis (sweet orange). RNAcentral's name for it is "long non-coding RNA (CSIN_LNC004054)". Lineage: Eukaryota; Viridiplantae; Streptophyta; Magnoliopsida; Sapindales; Rutaceae. The record is from RNAcentral.